This 1543-nucleotide ribosomal RNA is filed under the name Salmonella enterica subsp. enterica serovar Infantis. RNAcentral's name for it is "bacterial SSU rRNA". It matches the Rfam family "Bacterial small subunit ribosomal RNA". Lineage: Bacteria; Pseudomonadati; Pseudomonadota; Gammaproteobacteria; Enterobacterales; Enterobacteriaceae. The record is from RNAcentral.
AAAUUGAAGAGUUUGAUCAUGGCUCAGAUUGAACGCUGGCGGCAGGCCUAACACAUGCAAGUCGAACGGUAACAGGAAGCAGCUUGCUGCUUUGCUGACGAGUGGCGGACGGGUGAGUAAUGUCUGGGAAACUGCCUGAUGGAGGGGGGAUAACUACUGGAAACGGUGGCUAAUACCGCAUAACGUCGCAAGACCAAAGAGGGGGACCUUCGGGCCUCUUGCCAUCAGAUGUGCCCAGAUGGGAUUAGCUAGUUGGUGAGGUAACGGCUCACCAAGGCGACGAUCCCUAGCUGGUCUGAGAGGAUGACCAGCCACACUGGAACUGAGACACGGUCCAGACUCCUACGGGAGGCAGCAGUGGGGAAUAUUGCACAAUGGGCGCAAGCCUGAUGCAGCCAUGCCGCGUGUAUGAAGAAGGCCUUCGGGUUGUAAAGUACUUUCAGCGGGGAGGAAGGUGUUGUGGUUAAUAACCGCAGCAAUUGACGUUACCCGCAGAAGAAGCACCGGCUAACUCCGUGCCAGCAGCCGCGGUAAUACGGAGGGUGCAAGCGUUAAUCGGAAUUACUGGGCGUAAAGCGCACGCAGGCGGUCUGUCAAGUCGGAUGUGAAAUCCCCGGGCUCAACCUGGGAACUGCAUUCGAAACUGGCAGGCUUGAGUCUUGUAGAGGGGGGUAGAAUUCCAGGUGUAGCGGUGAAAUGCGUAGAGAUCUGGAGGAAUACCGGUGGCGAAGGCGGCCCCCUGGACAAAGACUGACGCUCAGGUGCGAAAGCGUGGGGAGCAAACAGGAUUAGAUACCCUGGUAGUCCACGCCGUAAACGAUGUCUACUUGGAGGUUGUGCCCUUGAGGCGUGGCUUCCGGAGCUAACGCGUUAAGUAGACCGCCUGGGGAGUACGGCCGCAAGGUUAAAACUCAAAUGAAUUGACGGGGGCCCGCACAAGCGGUGGAGCAUGUGGUUUAAUUCGAUGCAACGCGAAGAACCUUACCUGGUCUUGACAUCCACAGAAGAAUCCAGAGAUGGAUUUGUGCCUUCGGGAACUGUGAGACAGGUGCUGCAUGGCUGUCGUCAGCUCGUGUUGUGAAAUGUUGGGUUAAGUCCCGCAACGAGCGCAACCCUUAUCCUUUGUUGCCAGCGGUUAGGCCGGGAACUCAAAGGAGACUGCCAGUGAUAAACUGGAGGAAGGUGGGGAUGACGUCAAGUCAUCAUGGCCCUUACGACCAGGGCUACACACGUGCUACAAUGGCGCAUACAAAGAGAAGCGACCUCGCGAGAGCAAGCGGACCUCAUAAAGUGCGUCGUAGUCCGGAUUGGAGUCUGCAACUCGACUCCAUGAAGUCGGAAUCGCUAGUAAUCGUGGAUCAGAAUGCCACGGUGAAUACGUUCCCGGGCCUUGUACACACCGCCCGUCACACCAUGGGAGUGGGUUGCAAAAGAAGUAGGUAGCUUAACCUUCGGGAGGGCGCUUACCACUUUGUGAUUCAUGACUGGGGUGAAGUCGUAACAAGGUAACCGUAGGGGAACCUGCGGUUGGAUCACCUCCUUA